GAUGAACGCUGGCGGCGUGCCUAAUACAUGCAAGUCGAGCGAACAGACGAGGAGCUUGCUCCUCUGACGUUAGCGGCGGACGGGUGAGUAACACGUGGAUAACCUACCUAUAAGAUUGGGAUAACUUCGGGAAACCGGAGCUAAUACCGGAUAAUAUAUUGAACCGCAUGGUUCAAUAGUGAAAGACGGUUUUGCUGUCACUUAUAGAUGGAUCCGCGCCGCAUUAGCUAGUUGGUAAGGUAACGGCUUACCAAGGCAACGAUGCGUAGCCGACCUGAGAGGGUGAUCGGCCACACUGGAACUGAGACACGGUCCAGACUCCUACGGGAGGCAGCAGUAGGGAAUCGUCCGCAAUGGGCGAAAGCUUGACGGAGCAACGCCGCGUGAGUGAUGAAGGUCUUCGGAUCGUAAAACUCUGUUAUUAGGGAAGAACAAAUGUGUAAGUAACUAUGCACGUCUUGACGGUACCUAAUCAGAAAGCCACGGCUAACUACGUG
This 497-nucleotide ribosomal RNA is filed under the name uncultured bacterium. RNAcentral describes it as "partial 16S ribosomal RNA". It matches the Rfam family "Bacterial small subunit ribosomal RNA", at positions 28 to 507 of the family's 1533-position model. The record is from RNAcentral.